UUCAAGCUUGUCUUUUUGUUCUGUAAUUUACUAUUGUUUGACUUGUAUAAUUUUAACUUAAAGCUUCUAUUCUUUUUCUUGAUUUUGUAAGUAGUUUCCCAAUCUUCUCCAUUGCAAGUGACAUUUACAUGCGUAUAUGCAUUAAGAAUUUACUUACCAUGUAUUCUAAUUGGCAGGUGUUGAGCACUUGCUAAGGGAUGUGAAAGAUACUACAAUCAGUACUCUUGCAACUGAGGUUUCUUUCUGAACCUUUGUAUGACCUUUUUACAUUGAAAAAAUAGACAAUGAUAAGUUUGGCUUCUUAACAAGUAGAGGGCAAUAAGAACUUUGAACACUUCCAAUCUAGGUAACCGGGAAACUGGCAGCUUUGAACUUAUUUCUGAACCUUCUUAUGACUUUUUUACAUUAAAAAAUAGACAAUGAUAAGUUUGGCUUCUUAACAAGUAGAGGGCAAUAAGAACUUUGAACACUUCCAAUCCAGGUAACUGGGAAACUUGCAGCUUUGAAGGGAUUGGAUGCUCGACUUCAAGAGAUACGAAGUUAUCUAGAUCUUGUCAUUGAUGGGAAGCUUCCUUUG
This 577-nucleotide long non-coding RNA is filed under the name Nicotiana benthamiana. RNAcentral describes it as "long non-coding RNA (NBEN_LNC037311)". Lineage: Eukaryota; Viridiplantae; Streptophyta; Magnoliopsida; Solanales; Solanaceae. The record is from RNAcentral.